Molecule: ribosomal RNA, 478 nt
Filed under: uncultured bacterium
Lineage: Bacteria
Description: SSU rRNA
Rfam family: Bacterial small subunit ribosomal RNA
Source: RNAcentral
AGGACGAACGCUGGCGGCGUGCUUAACACAUGCAAGUCGAACGGAAAGGCCCUUCGGGGUACUCGAGUGGCGAACGGGUGAGUAACACGUGAGCAAUCUGCCCCUAGCUCUGGGAUAGCUCCGGGAAACCGGGAUUAAUACCAGAUAUUACUACGGCCGACAUCAGCUGUGGUGGAAAGAAUUUCGGCUAGGGAUGAGCUCGCGGCCUAUCAGCUUGUUGGUGGGGUAAAGGCCCACCAAGGCGACGACGGGUAGCCGGCCUGAGAGGGCGACCGGCCACACUGGGACUGAGACACGGCCCAGACUCCUACGGGAGGCAGCAGUGGGGAAUAUUGCGCAAUGGGCGAAAGCCUGACGCAGCGACGCCGCGUGCGGGAUGAAGGCCUCGGGUUGUAAACCGCUUUCAGCAGGGACGAAGCGAAAGUGACGGUACCUGCAGAAGAAGCGCCGGCUAACUACGCGCCAGCAGCCGCGGUAA